GAUGAAGAACGUAGCGAAAUGCGAUACUUGGUGUGAAUUGCAGAAUCCCGUGAACCAUCGAGUCUUUGAACGCAAGUUGCGCCCGAAGCCAUUAGGCCGAGGGCACGCCUGCCUGGGCGUCACACGUCGUUGCCCCCCCAUCUACUCCUUCGGGAUUGCGGGGGGCGGAUGAUGGCCUCCCGUGCGCCUCGUCGCGCGGUUGGCAUAAAUGCCAAGUCCUCGGCGACGCACGCCACGACAAUCGGUGGUUGCGAAACCUCGGUUGCCCGUCGUGUGCGGUCAUCGCGCAUCGAGGGCUCGAAAAAAUUGCCGGGCUCCGGCUCGGCUUUCAACGCUACCCCAGGUCAGGCGGGGUUACCCGCUGAAUUUAAGCAUAUCAAUAAGCGGAGGA
RNAcentral lists this unclassified non-coding RNA (391 nucleotides) under soil metagenome. RNAcentral describes it as "partial contains 5.8S ribosomal RNA, internal transcribed spacer 2, and large subunit ribosomal RNA". The stretch from base 1 to 122 matches the Rfam family "5.8S ribosomal RNA", at positions 35 to 154 of the family's 154-position model. The record is from RNAcentral.